Molecule: ribosomal RNA, 655 nt
Filed under: Bacillus amyloliquefaciens
Lineage: Bacteria; Bacillati; Bacillota; Bacilli; Caryophanales; Bacillaceae
Description: bacterial SSU rRNA
Rfam family: Bacterial small subunit ribosomal RNA
Source: RNAcentral
UCGCGUGCUAUACAUGCAGUCGAGCGGACAGAUGGGAGCUUGCUCCCUGAUGUUAGCGGCGGACGGGUGAGUAACACGUGGGUAACCUGCCUGUAAGACUGGGAUAACUCCGGGAAACCGGGGCUAAUACCGGAUGGUUGUUUGAACCGCAUGGUUCAGACAUAAAAGGUGGCUUCGGCUACCACUUACAGAUGGACCCGCGGCGCAUUAGCUAGUUGGUGAGGUAACGGCUCACCAAGGCGACGAAGCGUAGCCGACCUGAGAGGGUGAUCGGCCACACUGGGACUGAGACACGGCCCAGACUCCUACGGGAGGCAGCAGUAGGGAAUCUUCCGCAAUGGACGAAAGUCUGACGGAGCAACGCCGCGUGAGUGAUGAAGGUUUUCGGAUCGUAAAGCUCUGUUGUUAGGGAAGAACAAGUGCCGUUCAAAUAGGGCGGCACCUUGACGGUACCUAACCAGAAAGCCACGGCUAACUACGUGCCAGCAGCCGCGGUAAUACGUAGGUGGCAAGCGUUGUCCGGAAUUAUUGGGCGUAAAGGGCUCGCAGGCGGUUUCUUAAGUCUGAUGUGAAAGCCCCCGGCUCAACCGGGGAGGGUCAUUGGAAACUGGGGAACUUGAGUGCAAAAGAGGAGAGUGGAAUUCCACGUGUAGCG